UAAGCGGAGGAAAAGAAACUAACAAGGAUUCCCCUAGUAACGGCGAGUGAAGCGGGAAGAGCUCAAAUUUGAAAUCUGGUAGCCUUCGGCUGCCCGAGUUGUAAUCUAGAGAAGUGUUUUCCGUGCCGGCCCAUGUACAAGUCCCUUGGAACAGGGCGUCAUAGAGGGUGAGAAUCCCGUCCUUGACAUGGACCCCCGGUGCUUUGUGAUACACUUUCAACGAGUCGAGUUGUUUGGGAAUGCAGCUCAAAAUGGGUGGUGAAUUCCAUCUAAAGCUAAAUAUUGGCGAGAGACCGAUAGCGAACAAGUACCGUGAGGGAAAGAUGAAAAGCACUUUGGAAAGAGAGUUAAACAGUACGUGAAAUUGUUGAAAGGGAAACGAUUGAAGUCAGUCAUGCUCUUUGGAUUCAGCCGUUCUGCGGUGUAUUUCCAUUGAGUGGGGUCAACAUCAGUUUUGACCGCUGGAUAAAGGCACUAGGAAGGUAGCACUCUCGGGUGAACUUAUAGCCUAGCGUCAUAUACAGUGGUUGGGACUGAGGAACGCAGCAUGCCUUUAUGGCCGGGAUUCGUCCACGUACAUGCU
This 583-nucleotide ribosomal RNA is filed under the name Cryptococcus sp. M29. RNAcentral's name for it is "eukaryotic LSU rRNA". It matches the Rfam family "Eukaryotic large subunit ribosomal RNA", at positions 47 to 613 of the family's 3401-position model. The record is from RNAcentral. Lineage: Eukaryota; Fungi; Basidiomycota; Tremellomycetes; Tremellales; Cryptococcaceae.